CGGGUGCGGAACACGUACGCAACCUUCCCAAAACAGGUGAAUAGCCCUGCGAAAGUAGGAUUAAUACACCGUAAGAUAUAGCUUAGGCAUCUCGGUUAUAUUAUAGGUAGCGAUACCGGUUUUGGAUGGGCGUGCGCCUGAUUAGGUAGUUGGUGUGGGUAACGGCCCACCAAGCCUUCGAUCAGUAACUGGUGUGAGAGCACGACCAGUCACACGGGCACUGAGACACGGGCCCG
This 236-nucleotide ribosomal RNA is filed under the name uncultured bacterium. Its description in RNAcentral is "partial 16S ribosomal RNA". It matches the Rfam family "Bacterial small subunit ribosomal RNA", at positions 103 to 334 of the family's 1533-position model. The record is from RNAcentral.